CACUUUCGCCAGAGAUGAUAAUGACAGUAUCUGGUAAAGAAACCCCGGCUAACUCCGUGCCAGCAGCCGCGGUAAUACGGAGGGGGUUAGCGUUGUUCGGAAUUACUGGGCGUAAAGCGCACGUAGGCGGAUUAGUAAGUUAGAGGUGAAAUCCCAGGGCUCAACCCUGGAACUGCCUUUAAUACUGCUAGUCUUGAGUUCGAGAGAGGUAAGUGGAAUUCCGAGUGUAGAGGUGAAAUUCGUAGAUAUUCGGAGGAACACCAGUGGCGAAGGCGGCUUACUGGCUCGAUACUGACGCUGAGGUGCGAAAGUGUGGGGAGCAAACAGGAUUAGAUACCCUGGUAGUCCACACCGUAAACGAUGAAUGCCAGACGUCAGCAAGUAUACUUGUUGGUGUCACACCUAACGGAUUAAGCAUUCCGCCUGGGGAGUACGGUCGCAAGAUUAAAACUCAAAUGAAUUGAC
RNAcentral lists this ribosomal RNA (465 nucleotides) under uncultured Alphaproteobacteria bacterium. Its description in RNAcentral is "bacterial SSU rRNA". It matches the Rfam family "Bacterial small subunit ribosomal RNA", at positions 431 to 914 of the family's 1533-position model. Lineage: Bacteria; Pseudomonadati; Pseudomonadota; Alphaproteobacteria. The record is from RNAcentral.